Molecule: ribosomal RNA, 243 nt
Filed under: uncultured bacterium
Lineage: Bacteria
Description: partial 16S ribosomal RNA
Rfam family: Bacterial small subunit ribosomal RNA
Source: RNAcentral
GAUCAUGGCUCAGGAUGAACGCCAGCUACAGGCUUAACACAUGCAAGUCGAGGGGCAGCAUGAACUUAGCUUGCUAAGUUUGAUGGCGACCGGCGCUACGGGUGAGUAACACGUAUCUAACCUUCCGUUUACUCAGGGAUAGCCUUUACGAAAGAAAGAUUAAUACCUGAUAGUAUGGUGAGAUUGCAUGAUAACACCAUUAAAGAUUAUUGGUAAACGAUGGGGUAUGCGUUCCAUUAAGGG